This 510-nucleotide long non-coding RNA is filed under the name Rattus norvegicus (Norway rat). RNAcentral's name for it is "long non-coding RNA NONRATT012642". The record is from RNAcentral. Lineage: Eukaryota; Metazoa; Chordata; Mammalia; Rodentia; Muridae.
UGCUCCAUGGUCCCCACUGUGAAGGGUUGUACUCUCAAAUUGUGAGCCAAAAGAAACCCUUCCUUCCUUAAGUUGCUAGCCAUUGAGUAUUUGAUCAUAUUAACAGAAAACCAAUGAGUACAGAGCCCAUAAAAGUGACACCAUUCAGAAGAAGAGGUGUUUCCUUGGCUUACAGAGCAACUUCAACACUAAGUAGCCACCGAGGUAUUGCUAAGCAGCCACUCAGGUGCUAUAUGAGAAAUAGAGCUGAAAGCCAAGCCCCUGACCUUUGGGAGUAUUAUAGUCUCAUCGUGAAAAUGACAGCAGAUCACUUUGAAGGCCAGCAUCAGUAGACACCUACUUGGCAAAGGGAUAAGAGAAGGAGCAUAGAAUUGGAAAAGUCCGUGUUCUUCAUGUACACUGGUCCUUGACAGCAAAGCCUAAGAAGGAUUUAGUGUAGGUAGUAUGUUGGUUGGGCCAGGGUAGCUCCUGAUAGACAGAAAGGAAGAAAAUCCAAUAAAAAAAAAAAAA